GAAGCUGGAAAAACGAGAGAGUGGUGGCGUGGAAGCGGAAGUCGUUCAUACAAUAGCAAGACCGAGAAUGGAGGUGCGAGAAGCGCUGAUAACUCUUAGAUUUGAAUGAGAUGGGGUCAGAUGGAGGGGAGGAACUUGAUGCUGAGAUCGACUCAGAUGACCAAUGGGGGAAUUGUUCAUUACAUUCUGAUUCUGAUUUGGAGCCUGAGCUGCCUCGGCGCAAGAGAGCCCGAAUUAUGCAUACUGUGCAGGCGUCACGUUGCCUGCUGACAAUGUUCCGAGUAGAUUAUCAGCACAUAAUGGAAUCCCAGUGUAGUCAGGCCCUCACUUUACGCAAAAGAGAAAAUCGACAGAGCAUUCGACAGCUGUCAUUGUUUAUGUAACAUGGAGAUGUUGCAGCACCUCAGUACUGUAGCUGAGGCGCACAGAGCGGGACAUGUCUGUGGAUGAGCUGGAAGCGUUCAUUGCGCUCCUGUAUGUCCGAGGACUGUACGGAGGAAAGAACACGAGUCUAGAGAGCCUCUGGUCAGACAGGUAUGGGAUCACUUUCUUCCGAGAUACCUUGCCAUGGAACCGCUUCAGAGAGAUCAUGCGAUACCUGCGUUUUGAUGCAAGACGCAUGCGCCUGGAUACUGACAAAUUGAGAAUCAGAAGUUUGGGACGCGUUUGUACAGAGAUGUGUUAGCUCUUACAAGCCAGGAGUGAACAUCACCGUUGUGGAGCAAUGUCGCUUUACGCAGUACAUCCCCUACAAGCAAGACAAGUGGGGCAGGAAGUUUCAGUUGGCAGCUGACAUCGACAGCAAGUACGUGCUGAAUGUCUUUCCGUAUUUGGGGAAAGGUGAAUCUCAGCAGCCUGAACAUGUGGUUAUGCGACUCGUGGAACCUUACCUCCGUGAGGGGAGAAAUGUCAACAUGGACGAUGUCUUCACCUCACUGCCAUUGGUUAACAAGUUGAUUGACAAGAACACACGCCUGGUCGGGGGGCGGUGAAUAAGACGAGACUGGAGCUGCCUCCAUCUGCAUGUAACCAGUCACAAGCAGAGCUGUUCUCCACAACAGUGCAGAAGCACGACAAAGCAACACUUACGGUUUACAGAAAGAAGCCUCGAAAAAACGUCUGUAUCCUGAGUACUAAGCAUCUGACAGUUGCCAUUGGCGGUGACACAAAGAGAAAACCAGAGACCCUGGCGCACUAUAACAGCAGAAAUGUUGGUGUGGAUAAGAUGACCAGACAGUUCACGGUGAAAGGGGGUACUCGCCGCUGGCCUGUUGCCGUAUUCUACAACCUGUUUGACCUGGCUGCUAUCAACACGCACGUUUUGUUCACCCUGUGCACCGGUAAGACAACCCCGAGGAGAGAUUUCAUCAUGGAUCUGGCAUGGGAGCUUCGUGAGAACCACACGAGAGCCAAGACGAAGGCAGCUGCAGCCGCCAAGGAGGCGGCCAAGGCCGCACCGCCUCCUUCCCGGGCACCCAUCCAGCUCCCUAAUUGGAAGAGAACACAGUGCCAAGUGAAGCCGCAGUGUGCACGGAACCAGGCCCAUGAAAGCUGUGCACGGUGUCACCGAUUUGUUUGUGGGUCUUGCACCCUCAAAAUGUGUGGAUCAGAGCAAUAGAGGAGAGGAGGAAGAGACUGAUUAAUGCAUAAGACUGAAGGCGAGGGCACAAUACCGUGUUCAACCCUAAUGAACAAGUGACUUGUUUCAUGUCAUGGCUAUUUUCAACGAAUAUUACCAUAUCUUUAAUGGUUCACAUGUGUUUUGCACUCUUUAUAUAAAUUGGCGCUUCUGUGAAUGCAUAAAUUCCGAGUGGCACAGCGUUCGGCCAUGAUUGGGAGUUCCAUAGGGCGGCGCACAAUUGGUCCAGUGUUGUCCGGAUUUGGCUGGGGUAGGCUUUCAUUGUAAAUAAGAAUUUGUUCUUAGCUGACUUGCCUAGUUAAAUAAAAAAUAAAAAUCAGUUGACCGUG
Oncorhynchus masou masou (cherry salmon) is the source of this 1968-nucleotide long non-coding RNA. RefSeq lists it as uncharacterized. The record is from RefSeq and is a predicted model, not a curated record. NCBI's taxonomy places the organism in Eukaryota, Metazoa, Chordata, Actinopteri, Salmoniformes, Salmonidae. The transcript is spliced from 2 exons.